UGCUGUUUUCUUCUGUAAAGGUUUGAAUUGGAUGAUGGUAGAAUGGUAUCAGUUGAGCAGUACUUUGCCCGUGAGAAGAAGAUAAGGCUUAUGUAUCCACGCCUUCCAUGUCUUCAUGUUGGCUCCUUGAAUAGGCCCAAACCCAUCUAUCUUCCGGCAGAAUUGUGCCAUGUGACAAGGGGUCAAGUAAUAAACAAGAAAAUGACUGAACUACAGACAUCUAACAUGAUAAAGCAUGCUGCAACAA
Long non-coding RNA from Cryptotermes secundus, 247 nucleotides. RefSeq lists it as uncharacterized. The record is from RefSeq and is a predicted model, not a curated record. The transcript has 2 exons. Lineage: Eukaryota; Metazoa; Arthropoda; Insecta; Blattodea; Kalotermitidae.